AGUGAACGCUGGCGGUAGGCCUAACACAUGCAAGUCGAACGGCAGCACAGUAAGAGCUUGCUCUUACGGGUGGCGAGUGGCGGACGGGUGAGGAAUACAUCGGAAUCUACUUUUUCGUGGGGGAUAACGUAGGGAAACUUACGCUAAUACCGCAUACGACCCACGGGUGAAAGCAGGGGAUCUUCGGACCUUGCGCGAUUGAAUGAGCCGAUGUCGGAUUAGCUAGUUGGCGGGGUAAAGGCCCACCAAGGCGACGAUCCGUAGCUGGUCUGAGAGGAUGAUAAGCCACACUGGAACUGAGACACGGUCCAGACUCCUACGGGAGGCAGCAGUGGGGAAUAUUGGACAAUGGGCGCAAGCCUGAUCCAGCCAUACCGCGUGGGUGAAGAAGGCCUUCGGGUUGUAAAGCCCUUUUGUUGGGAAAGAAAAGCAGCAGGUUAAUACCCCGCUGUUCUGACGGUACCCAAAGAAUAAGCACCGGCUAACUUCGUG
This 492-nucleotide ribosomal RNA is filed under the name uncultured bacterium. RNAcentral's name for it is "partial 16S ribosomal RNA". It matches the Rfam family "Bacterial small subunit ribosomal RNA", at positions 29 to 507 of the family's 1533-position model. The record is from RNAcentral.